GUUUAUAAGAGCUAAUUUACGCAGGAGCGUAAAUAGUUCAGUAAAUUCUGUUGUGCCGCGACGUGUUUGCUUUCAUUGUAAAAAAACAUUUCUUGGUCCUUUGCAUCAUCUAAGUGGAAAAGCCACACGAUAAAGAUGAAACUCGCACUGAUAUUGAUGGCCCUCGUGGCCUCAAGCAAGACAGAAAGUACGAAUUUUGGCCGAAGCACGAGAGUGGAGAACCCCUUUGUCAUCCUAGACAACAUCGUGGAUUUCUUCGACGAAAUGAAGGGGAUGGUUGAAAAACAUUGGAGCUCUAUUUCAAAACAGAGCUUGAAACUGUUUAUAGAAUUGUACAUGAAAUUGAGAGAUUUCGUGGCUUACCUCGAAACAAAGCAAGACGUUUACCGUGUGAUACGAUUUUUCUCUUAUUUCGGUAUAGACUUUUACAAAGUAAUAAAUAUUGCGCACAACUUUCUCGGACUCCCUCCAUUCGUCCUAGCCGAGGAAAUAUUUUUUGGCGAGGACAUCCCAGCCGGGAACAUUAUAACCUUUCAUGAUUAGAUAGCGUAUAAUAAUUAGAAGAAAGCCUAAAAUUAGAGUGAAUUCAUUGAGGAAGUCAUGGAAAUUUUACCCUUAUCAAACUCCUGAUCUUCUACAGCUCGAUAUUAACGGAAUCCAAGGCUUUCUCCGAUUUCAUAAAACAAAUCAAAUCCGACAAUUUCCAACAGAUCUUCAAGGCCUAUAAUCCUAAUAUCCGGAAAAUCUUAAUGUAAUAUGGUGUUAAUCUUGAGCACAUCAAGAACGUAUUAAAGUAUAUCUUCAGCAAUAAUUCAGCAAUAAUUCAGGGUUCCCGACCGCCACUUAAUAAAAACCGACACCGUCGUGAAACAUAAGAUUCCUUAUUGCCAGACACAUCAAUGAUAUUUUUAUUCAAAAAUACACCUCGUAUGUGUCUCGUAGACAUUAUAUUCGGUUAUGUAAUUCUGUACUUCAAAAUAGAUUAAAGUAAUAAAUAUCAAUCUCACUGCUAUAUACA
Molecule: long non-coding RNA, 1018 nt
Filed under: Harpegnathos saltator (Jerdon's jumping ant)
Lineage: Eukaryota; Metazoa; Arthropoda; Insecta; Hymenoptera; Formicidae
Description: uncharacterized LOC105186968, transcript variant X2
Source: RNAcentral